This 119-nucleotide ribosomal RNA is filed under the name Scophthalmus maximus (turbot). Lineage: Eukaryota; Metazoa; Chordata; Actinopteri; Pleuronectiformes; Scophthalmidae. The record is from RNAcentral.
UGUUACGGCCAUACCAGCCUGAAUACGCCCGAUCUCGUCUGAUCUCGGAAGCUAAGCAGGGUCGGGCCUGGUUAGUACUUGGAUGGGAGACCGCCUGGGAAUACCAGGUGCUGUAAGCA